AGUGAACGCUGGCGGUAGGCCUAACACAUGCCAGUCGAACGGCAGCACAGUAAGAGCUUGCUCUUACGGGUGGCGAGUGGCGGACGGGUGAGGAAUACAUCGGAAUCUACUUUUUCGUGGGGGCUAACGUAGGGAAACUUACGCUAAUACCGCAUACGACCUACGGGUGAAAGCAGGGGAUCUUCGGACCUUGCGCGAUUGAAUGAGCCGAUGUCGGAUUAGCUAGUUGGCAGGGUAAAGGCCCACCAAGGCGACGAUCCGUAGCUGGUCUGAGAGGAUGAUCAGCCACACUGGAACUGAGACACGGUCCAGACUCCUACGGGAGGCAGCAGUGGGGAAUAUUGGACAAUGGGCGCAAGCCUGAUCCAGCCAUACCGCGUGGGUGAAGAAGGCCUUCGGGUUGUAAAGCCCUUUUGUUGGGAAAGAAAAGCAGCAGGUUAAUACCCCGCUGUUCUGACGGUACCCAAAGAAUAAGCACCGGCUAACUUCGUG
Molecule: ribosomal RNA, 492 nt
Filed under: uncultured bacterium
Lineage: Bacteria
Description: partial 16S ribosomal RNA
Rfam family: Bacterial small subunit ribosomal RNA
Source: RNAcentral